This is a long non-coding RNA of Helicoverpa armigera (cotton bollworm), 452 nucleotides long. RefSeq lists it as uncharacterized. Lineage: Eukaryota; Metazoa; Arthropoda; Insecta; Lepidoptera; Noctuidae. The transcript is spliced from 2 exons. The record is from RefSeq and is a predicted model, not a curated record.
CAACUGUUAAGGGAACGUGACGACAGCGAGGAAGAAAUUCAGAAAAUAAUUAGUAAAAACUCUGAAUUGAAGUCUCAACUUGCAGAAUUACACAUCCAAUAUAUGGAUGUGCUGGAUCAGCGGGAUAGGUUACAGGAUUUUAUAAACGCAGAUGGCAGCUCUGAAGUGGAAUAAAAGUGCUUUAUUUUAUUUUGUAUUUUUCGGUGUUUUAAAUUAAUAAUUGAUGAAAUUGAAAUUGAAUUGUAUAAUUGUAAAAUAAAUUAAUAAUAAUUAAAUUGUAAUAGACAGCUGUGUUGCUGGGAAGUUUGUUCUUCACCGCUUCUUCUUUCCAGCCAUAACACUAGGAAGUGGUGAAAGGGGGGCGUUUUGGGGGUGCUGUCAUUCAUGUAAAAUUUUGACGUUAAAAAGUGCUAAUCGUAUUAGCCUAUUUUAAUAAAUGAUUUUGACUUUGA